GAACGAUGUAAUUCCAUCCCCAGGCUGAAACACAUUAGCGCGUUUGGCAAGUGCUCUAUCAGAGGGCCAUCAGACUGAGGCUCGUGCAUGAGGGGAUAGCAUGCUUUUACUUUCACUCUCUUUGUAUUAAAAAACGAUUUCCCGGUCGGAAUAUUAUCGCUUUUUUAUGAGAAAAAUGGCAUAAAAAUUGAUUUUAAACAGCGGUUGACAUGCUUCGAAGUACGGUAAUGGAAUAUUUAGAAUUUUUUUGUCACGAAACGCGUCGUGCUCGUCACCCUUAUUUACCCUUUCGGAUAGUGUCUUGAACGCACGAACAAAACGCCGCUGUUUGGAUAUAACUAUGGAUUAUUUGGGACCAAACCAACAUUUGUUAUUGAAGUAGAAGUCCUGGGAGUGCAUUCUGACGAAGAACAGCAAAGGAUCUGCAGUCCUGGUGCCAGAGGCCCCCAGUAAACCUCCAACAGAAGCUCCAGGUUGUCCAUUACAGGAGUGGUUAAGGCUAUGAGCCAGCCUGUGACACCAGUCUUCCCGGUUUUGACCACUGCCUGACUGGACUACUUUCCCGCCUGCCUGAUCAUCCUGCAUGCCCUGACCUUGAAUCUGCCUGCCCUUCAGUACCUAUUGGACUCUGAACUGGUUUUAACCUUUACCCUGUACAUGACAUUCUCUUGCCUACUCCUUUUUGGAUUAAUACACAUUGUAUGACUCUAAUCUUGAUUAGAGGCCUUGUACCUUGAUAUAGUGUAUGUAAAUGAGAUAUUUCUGUAUUUCCUUUUCAAUUAAUAUACAAAAAUAUAUUGUUCACUUUGUCAUUAUGGAGUAUUAUGUGUAGAUGGGUGAGAAAUGAUCAAUUGAAUCCAUUUUUACUUCAGGUUUUAACACAAAAUGUGGAACAAGUCAAUGGGUAUGAAUUAUUUCUGAAGGCAUCCUAUGUACUCUGCUGUUCUUUUUUAAAGCAUACAAAACAUGAAUAAGAG
Molecule: long non-coding RNA, 977 nt
Filed under: Salmo salar (Atlantic salmon)
Lineage: Eukaryota; Metazoa; Chordata; Actinopteri; Salmoniformes; Salmonidae
Description: lncRNA (ENSSSAG00000098819.1)
Source: RNAcentral